RNAcentral lists this ribosomal RNA (253 nucleotides) under uncultured bacterium. RNAcentral describes it as "partial 16S ribosomal RNA". It matches the Rfam family "Bacterial small subunit ribosomal RNA", at positions 524 to 776 of the family's 1533-position model. The record is from RNAcentral.
UACGUAUGGUGCAAGCGUUAUCCGGAUUUACUGGGCGUAAAGGGAGCGCAGGCGGCGCGCCAAGUCUGAUGUGAAACCCCGGGGCUCAACCCCGGGCAUGCAUUGGAAACUGGCGGGCUGGAGUGCCGGAGAGGUAAGCGGAAUUCCUAGUGUAGCGGUGAAAUGCGUAGAUAUUAGGAGGAACACCAGUGGCGGAGGCGGCUUACUGGACGGCAACUGAUGCUGAGGCUCGAAAGCGUGGGGAGCAAACAGG